This is a long non-coding RNA of Micropterus dolomieu (smallmouth bass), 343 nucleotides long. RefSeq lists it as uncharacterized. Lineage: Eukaryota; Metazoa; Chordata; Actinopteri; Centrarchiformes; Centrarchidae. The record is from RefSeq and is a predicted model, not a curated record. The transcript is spliced from 2 exons.
AGCUGGGGACUGUGAUCAGAAUCAAUCCUAUCACAAUACCACACAGGGGACAUAGUGGAGGAAGUGGGGAAUAAAAGAAGAAUUGUGGAGUGACAGCUCCAUCUUUCUCUCUCUCUCUCUCUCUCUCUCUCUCUCUCUCUCACUGUGCCUCAAGAUGAAUCUGCCAGCAUGUGCCCAUGCUCUUCAUCACUGUCAGGUGCCCCAUGGUGGUCCUCCUCCUCUUUCUCAAACUGGGCACCAACCGCUGGCUGGAAUUAUUCCUCACCUCCAAAACUCUCCCCACUGUUUCUAAAUAAAUGUGGCUGUAGUAACCGAGGAGUGUUGCUCAUCCAUCUUUACUGUG